AGACAAGUAACAGAUGAAUAAUUAUGUGAUAUGCCCUGGUCUAGUUUUACUUUAUGGGCACUUAUUUUAUUGGAAUAAGAGAGUCCAAUGGCUAAUAGAAUUGGAGUAUAGGAUUCUGCUAAUGUACUCAUCCUGUAUAUGUUAAAAUUGAAUUUUCUGAAUUAUGACAUGACACGCAUUUUAUUUAUUCUAUAAUAAUUUUUAUUAUUUAAUUAUUUAUUU
RNAcentral lists this long non-coding RNA (222 nucleotides) under Ricinus communis (castor bean). Its description in RNAcentral is "long non-coding RNA (RCOM_LNC001763)". Lineage: Eukaryota; Viridiplantae; Streptophyta; Magnoliopsida; Malpighiales; Euphorbiaceae. The record is from RNAcentral.